AUACGGAGGGUGCGAGCGUUAAUCGGAUUUACUGGGCGUAAAGCGCGCGUAGGCGGCUAAUUAAGUCAAAUGUGAAAUCCCCGAGCUUAACUUGGGAAUUGCAUUCGAUACUGGUUAGCUAGAGUGUGGGAGAGGAUGGUAGAAUUCCAGGUGUAGCGGUGAAAUGCGUAGAGAUCUGGAGGAAUACCGAUGGCGAAGGCAGCCAUCUGGCCUAACACUGACGCUGAGGUGCGAAAGCAUGGGGAGCAAACAGCAUUAGAAACCCCGGUAGUCC
Molecule: ribosomal RNA, 274 nt
Filed under: uncultured bacterium
Lineage: Bacteria
Description: partial 16S ribosomal RNA
Rfam family: Bacterial small subunit ribosomal RNA
Source: RNAcentral